UACGUAGGCAGCGAGCGUUGUUCGGAAUUACUGGGCGUAAAGAGUGUGUAGGCGGUGUUCUAAGUUUGUCGUGAAAUCUCCCGGCUUAACUGGGAGGGUGCGGCGAAAACUGGAAUGCUAGAGGAUGGGAGAGGUAAGCGGAAUUCCUGGUGUAGCGGUGAAAUGCGUAGAUAUCAGGAGGAACACCUGUGGUGUAGACAGCUUACUGGACCAUUUCUGACGCUGAGACACGAAAGCGUGGGUAGCAAACAGG
RNAcentral lists this ribosomal RNA (253 nucleotides) under uncultured bacterium. RNAcentral describes it as "partial 16S ribosomal RNA". It matches the Rfam family "Bacterial small subunit ribosomal RNA", at positions 524 to 776 of the family's 1533-position model. The record is from RNAcentral.